This 41221-nucleotide long non-coding RNA is filed under the name Prunus persica (peach). RNAcentral describes it as "long non-coding RNA (PPER_LNC001013)". The stretch from base 11426 to 11532 matches the Rfam family "Plant small nucleolar RNA R71". The record is from RNAcentral. Lineage: Eukaryota; Viridiplantae; Streptophyta; Magnoliopsida; Rosales; Rosaceae.
CAAUCGAUAUCGGAUUGAGUCCAAAACCUGGGGAAUAUCAUAAUAUUGUGGGAGGAGUCAUUUGGUGGGUUUUGAGUGAAAUCCAAUCUCUAGAACUAUACAAUACACCAACCACUCCAUUUCCGAACGAACUUCGUACGAACCUGAAUUGUCCGAUUUAAAGCACCAAUCGAUAUCGGAUUGAGUCCAAAACUUGGGGGACAACAUAAUAUUGUGGGAGGAGUCAUUUGGUGGGUUUUGAGUGAAAUCCAAUCCCUACAACUAUACAAUACACCAACCACUCCAUUUCGGAACGACCUUCGUACAAACUUGAAUUGUCCGAUUUCAUUGACCAAUCGAUAUCGGAUUGAGUCCAAAACUCGGGGAACAUCAUAAUAUUGUGGGAGUUGUCAUUUGGUGCCUUUUGGGUAAAAUCCAAUCUCCAGAACUAUACAAUACACCAACCAACCCAUUUCCAGAACGAACUUCAUACGAACUUGAAUUGUCCGAUAUCAAGGACCAAUCGAUAUCGGAUUGAGUCCAAAACUUGGGGAACAUCAUAAUAUUGUGGGAGGAGUCAUUUGGUGGGUUUUGAGUGAAAUCCAAUCUCUCGAACUAUACAAUACACCAACUACCGCAUUUCCGAACGAACUUCGUACGAAACUGAAUUGUCCGAUUUCAAGCUCCAAUCGAUAUCGGAUUGAGUCCAAAACUUGGGGAACAUCAUAAUAUUGUGGGAGGAGUCAUCUGGUGGGUUUUGAGUGAAAUCCAAUCCCUAGAACUAUACAAUACACCAACCACUCCAUUUUAGAACGAACUUCGUACGAACCUGAAUUGUCCGAUUACAAGGGCCAAUCGAUAUCGGAUUGAGGCCAAAACUUCGGAAACAACAUAAUAUUGUGGGAGGAGUCAUUUGGUGGAUUUUGAGUGAAAUCCAAUCUCUAGAACUAUACAAUACACCAACCACCCCAUGUCACAUGCCGGGAUCAACUCCACCGUAGCACGAUAUUUUCCGCUUUGGGCCCCCCCUCUGCCCGUACGAUUUUGUUUCUGGGAGCUCACGAGUAACUUCCCAGUGGGUCACCCAUCCUGGGAUUGCUCUGGCACUCAACUCGCUUAACUUCGGAGUUCCUACGACUCCGAAGCCAGUGAGCUCCCAAAAGGCCUCGUGCUAGAUGGAUGUGGGUGUGCACAUAUAAGGCACAUCACCCCCUCUCCGUUUGGUUGAUGUGGGAUCUUACAAUCCACCCCCCUUAAGGGCCCGACGUCCUCGUCGGCACACUCGCAGCACACGGCAGAGUGGCUCUGAUACCAAAUUGUCACACCCGGGAUCGGCUCCCCCGUAGCACAAUAUUGUCCGCUUUGGGCCCCCCUCACUGCCCUCACGGUUUUGUUUCUGGGAACUCUUGAGUAACUUCCCAGUGGGUCACCCAUCUUGGGAUUGCUCUAGCCCCCAACUCGCUUAACUUCGGAGUUCCUACGACUCCGAAGCCAGUGAGCUCCCAAAAAGCCUCGUGCUAGAUGGAUGCGAGUGUGCACAUAUAAGGCACAUCACCCCCUCUCCGUUGGUUGAUGUGGGAUCUUACAAUCCACCCCCCUUAAGGGCCCGACGUCCUCGUCGGCACACUCUCACCACACGGCAGAGUGGCUCUGAUACCAAAUUGUCACACCCCUGGAUCGGCUCCGCCGUAGCACGAUAUUGUCCGCUUUGGGCCCCCCUCACUGCCCUCACGGUUUUGUUUCUGGGAACUCACGAGCAACUUCCCAGUGGGUCACCCAUCCUGGGAUUGGUCUAGCCCCCAACUCGCUUAACUUCGGAGUUCCUACGACUCCGAAGCCAAUGAGCUCCCAAAAGGCCUCGUGCUAGAUGGAUGCACAUAUAAGGCACAUCACCCCUUCUCCGUUGGUUGAUGUGAGAUCUUCCAAUCCACCCCCUUAAGGACCCGACAUCCUCGUCGGCACACUCGCACCACACGGCAGAGUGGCUCUGAUACCAAAUUGUCACAUCCAGGGAUCGGCUCCGCCGUAGCACGAUAUUGUCCGCUUUGGGCCCCCCUCUCUGCCCUUACGGUUUUGUUUCUAGGAACUCACGAGCAACUUCCCAGUGGGUCACUCAUCCUGGGAUUGCUCUAGCCCCUAACUCGCUUAACUUCGGAGUUCCUACGACUCCGAAGCCGGUGAGCUCCCAAAAGGCCUCGUGCUAGAUGGAUGCGGGUGUGCACAUAUAAGGCACAUCACCCCCUCUCCGUUGGUUGAUGUGGGAUCUUACACCCCAUUUAUGAACGAACUUCGUACGAACCUGAAUUUUCCGAUUUCAAGGACCAAUCGAUAUUGGAUUGAGUCCAAAACUUGGGUAACAUCAUAAUAUUAUGGGAGGAGUCAUUUGGUGGGCUUUGAGUGAAAUCCAAUCCCUAGAACUUACAAUACACCAACCACUCCAUUUCAUGACGAACUUCGUAUGAACAUGGAUUGUCCGAUUUCAUGGACCAGUCGAUAUCGGAUUGAGUCCAAAACUUGGGAAACGUUGUAAUAUUGAGGGAGGAGUGAUUUGUUGCAUUUUGAGUGAAAUCCAAUCCCCAGAACUAUACAAUACACCAACCACUCCAUUUAAGAACGAACUUCGUACGAACCUGAAUUGUCAGAUUUCGAGGACCAAUCGAUAUCGUAUUGAGUCCAAAACUUGGGGAACAUGAUAGUAUUGUGGGAGGAGUCAUUUGGUGGGUUUUGAGUGAAAUCCAAUCCCUAGAACUAUACAAUACAUUAGCCAUUCCAUUUCAAAACGAACUUCGUACAAACCUGAAUUGUCAAAUUUCGUGGACCAAUCGAUAUCGGAUUGAGUCCAAAACUUGGGGAACAUCAUAAUAUUGUGGGAGGAGUCAUUUGGUGGCUUUUGAGUGAAAUCCAAUCUCUAGAACUAUACAAUACACCAACUACCCCAUUUCAGAACGAACUUCGUUGGAACCUGAAUAGUCCGAUUUCAAGGACCAGUCGAUAUCGGAUUGAGUCCAAAACUUGGGGAACAUCAUAAUAUUGUGGGAGGAGUCAUUUGGUGGCUUUUGAGUGAAAUCCAAUCUUUAGAACUAUACAAUACACCAACCACCCCAUUUCAGAACGAACUUCGUACGAACCUGAAUUGUCCAAUUUCAAGGACCAACAGAUAUCGGAUUGAGUCCGAAACUUGGGGAACAUCAUAAUAUUGGGGAGUUGUCAUUUGGUGGGUUUUGAGUGAAAUCCAAUCCCUAGAACUAUACAAUACACCAAAAACUUCAUUUCAGAAAAAACUUGUUGAGCCUAUUGUUAACAACUAAAAUGAGUUAUUAAAAACAGCAACUUUAAUUCUCGCAAGUGCACGAACCGUUUAUAGUAUAGCUUAUGUAAAUACGAGGUCGAUCCCACGGAGAAUGGUAACUUGGUUCCAAGUUAAAUUACUUAGAAUGUUAGAAAAAUAUAGAACAAAGAAACUGACUAACUAGCUAAAGGCAUGGUCGAAUUCAACAAUGCCUCUUGCUAAUUACUCAAGGUCUAGGACAGAAUCCUAGCACCACACACGCACUCGAAAUGGGGGGUUUUUUUGUUGAAAUGAAAACAAGAAAGUGAAAUGAAAGUGCUCGAAAGUGAACACUGGCAGCAAUCAACAAGUUGUGAAACAAUGAUUGAGAGGUGUUAGAGCCUUGGAAUCCACCACUAGUUUUCCUAUCCAAGUUAUGAAUGCAUAGAAAUUGACUCAAGCUUCAUUAGCAAUAGAUUAUCGCAUACAAGCCUAUGGUAUCUAGGUGCAGGAUGCAUGAUUCUCCUAAGGCAUGUGAUUAUGCAUGGUAUCUACACAACACGUGAUCUCUAAUAUGCAACCUAAGCAUGGUAUCUACUUAGAAUAAAGCAUACAAGAGUCAUUAAGCUCCUUGAGAAUAUGAUAAUCACACAAGUCCUAGAACAUGGUAUCUGUCCUAGUCAACCUAUGGUUAUUAACCCCUUGAAUGAUUCUUAGGCCAUUCAUGUGUUGCUUGUGAAAGGAGAGUAGAAUUGGUGAAUCUAAACCCCUUCCCAACCUGUGCUAGAUGCAUAAAAUCCUAGUUAGCUACUCCAAGAGAACAUACAUCAAGCACAUAAUAAACUAGAGAUUAACAACUUAAUAAUAAAAGCAAGGAAAUCAAUUAACUAUAAAAUCAUCCAUAACAUUGAAUAUUCAUGACUAGGGCUUCACCCUAAGCCCUAACUAAAUGGAUUAGUUAGACAUAACUAUGAAUACAGAAAAUAAGAAAUACAUAGAUAGGAUAAAGAGACGAGAAGAACUAGAUGAUGGGAGCAAGGAAGUUCCCAGGACAGCUCCAAGCUCCCUUCUCUCUUUGUGGUGAAUCUGAAUGUGUAUAUGAAAGUAAUGGAUGAAAUGAAUGUGUGUGUCUGCCCUCUCUCCCCUUGAAAGAGUGUGCAACUCUCUAUUUAUAGAGUGCAAUUUCGUGCUCCCCUUUGGCUGGUGAAGCACACCUCUCUUAGCUGCUGCCAACUGCUCUAGCUGCCCAUACAUGCCUGUUGCUCCAGCUGCCCAUACUUGCCUGUUGCUCCAGCUGCCCAUACUUGCCUGUUGGACUUUUCUUGGUUUUUGAGUUCCCAUACUGAUUUGUCUCCCAUGUGUGGCUGCUCUAAUGUGUAGCACAUGGCUCUAGGGAUGUAGCCACAUUAAAUAUGAUGGCAGCCAACAUGACAUUUCUGCGAACUUGGUUCAGUCUUUGACGUGUUGAGGGCUCCAGUUGUAUCCAAUUGGGCUGAACUUUGGAUAUGUUAUAAUAGACGCCCAUUGGAACAACGUCUAUGAAGGAUGUCUCCUCAUCUGACCUGUGUAAGUUACUGAAAUGAGGCCUGCAAGAUGACCUACGAAACUGGACUGACAAGGAGUGUGGCACAAAUUGGUUUUGUCUUUAAGCUCAUAUUCCACUUGUGCCACUCAGCCCUUAACAUGCAUGAAUUGUAUCAAAUGUCAUCCCCUUGCUAUAUUAACCUACAAAGCACACAAACAUAGGUAAGAGACUCAAAAUAAAGAGAAGCUAACAAAAUUACUAAGGAAAGAAGGCAUGCAAAUGUGUGAAAUUAUGAACUUAUCAAAUACCCCAAAACUUAGAUUUUGCUAGUCCUCGAGCAAAACAAAAUAAAACUACAACUUAGGAAACAGGAAAUAAGCAACUAGCCUUCCAAACAAUAUCCUCAAAGAAUCAUCAGUGUAAAUGGUUCCAAAGAAACACAACAAUCACAAUCUAAGUUCCACACAUGAUUCACGAGAAAGCAAAGCUAGCAUUGACACCCUUAAGUGUAGUGUGUGAAUGCCAAAUCCGAACAACACCUGCAUCUCAAAUAAGUACAUGUGCACACACUUAGAGCAAAAUCAAGAAUUCCGAACCCCAUAAGCUCAUUAUCCAAUCUGCUCUCCACAGUAAUACCAUGCAACACCAAGGAUCAAAAGGACUUUACAAGGGUAGUAAUGAGGUUUAGGGUAGUGGUUGAAUGAAAGAAGGGAUAUGAGAUAUACAAUAUUUUGAGCACACUUAAAGCACAGGUAAGAGCAUAAGAGAGUACUGAACUUUGUAACAAGCAAGGAACACAUACAUGAGCAGAUUUUCAACAUAAUUUCAGCACCUUGAAAUGUGUUUAUUUGGCCUAAUUUUGUGGCUCUUUACCCUAGAUCACAAUGAUGUUCUCCUUAUAACACCCUAGGGCCGUGACUACAUUGGUCACACUUCAUUACCUCUUUUGAUUAGUUACCAAUACCCCCAAACUUAUUUCUUUUCAACACUUGGGUUACGGCACCAAUUAUUCACUUUUGCUCUAUAAACCUUGCAUUCUUUAUAACUCUCUUUUGAAGAUAACUUUAAUUGCUCAUACAAUAAGUAAGGAUAAGAAAACAGAGGCUCAUUAUGGUAGGAUUCAUUUACACAAAGAAAGGCUUAACGUAGGCUCAAAUGGGAUGACUAGGGAUGAAUACAUGUAGAGGGAUGGUUAGAAAGGCUCAAACGGUUCAAACAUGGCCUAAAUCACUUCCUAAGCAUUGUAUGGCAACAAAAUGUCUCAAGAAAUAUUCAAAUAAGUUCUAGAGUACGAAACCAAGAUCAUGAGAUAACUAGAAUUGCAUAACGUCUCUAAGUAGCAAGAUGUUGGACUAACUUGGCAAAGUGCUCAAUAAGUGCAAGGAUGGCAUGCAGGACAAAGUUAACUUAGAAUCACACGCAGACCUUAAACAAUGACUAUCAAUUUCUGAAAAACCAUAAUAGUAUUAAAUCUAAGUCUUUAUCAUAGGUGUUUGGAAGGAUAACGAAACAACACACAAAAUCCUGCGUUUUUAGACAGUAGACACACUCAAAAAUUUUAAAAUUUGACAAUUUGAAACAGCAUAACUAAAUCCUUCCCCCCAAACUUAAAUGAAACAUUGUCCUCAAUGUUUAGAGUGUAAGAAAAAGCAAUGCCUCAUUAAUGAAAGGAAAGAAGACAAGGGAAAGACAUAACCAAAGGUUAGAUUUCAGAAAAACUCCCCUUUGAAGCGAUUAGGAUGCAAGCAAGCUUCCUCGCAUAUUCUAUCUUCUCCUCAUCACCUUGGGUUGCCUCCCAAGAAGCGCUAAGUUUCACGUCGUCAGCCGGACGUCCAAACUCUGGUGAGCUUUAAGAGAGUGGUGGAGGCUCCUUGAGUGCUUGAGACUCAAUAUUGGCAUCAAAGUUGGCAUCGAAGUAAGGUUUCAACCGAUGUCCAUUCACCUUGAAGGUGCUGCCAUCCUUAAUGUUUUGAAUCUCCACUGCGCCAUGAUUAAACACAUUAGUAAUAACAAAAGGGCCAAUCCACCGAGAACAAAGCUUACCUGGGAAGAGCUUAAGGCGUGAAUUGAAUAAGAGAACCUUCUGCCCUUUCUCAAACGUCUUCCUAAGAAUUUUCUUGUCGUGAUAUUGCUUUGUUUUCUCCUUGUAAAGCUUCGCAUUCUUAUACGCUUCAUGUCUCAACUCCUCCAGCUCAUUGAGUUGAAGCCUCCUCUUCUCACCAGCGGCUUUCAUAUCAAAAUUGAAGGCCUUGAUUGCCCAAUAAGCCCUGUGCUCAAGCUCCACUGGUAAGUGACAAGGUUUACCGAAAAUAAGUCUAUACGGAGACAUACCUAUAGGGGUCUUAUAAGCAGUCCUAUAAGCCCACAAUGCAUCAUCCAAACGCAUGGACCAAUCCUUCCUUGUGGUGUUCACUGUCUUUUCAAGUAUGUACUUAAUCUCCCUAUUGCUUAUAUCAACCUGCCCACUAGUUUGAGGAUGAUAGGGUGUUGCCACCUUAUGCGUGAUUCCAUAUCUCUUCAAGAGUGCUGCAAAAGCUUGGUUAACAAAGUGGGAGCCACCAUCACUAAUGAUUGCUCUAGGUGUGCCAAACCUUGUAAAAAUAUUUCCUUUGAGAAAACCGAUCACAACUUUAGCAUCAUUAGUUCUAGUGGCAAUGGCUUCCACCCAUUUAGAAACAUAAUCGACAGAAACUAAUAUAUAUUCAAAUCCAUAAGAGGUAGGAAAAGGGCCCAUGAAAUCAAUUCCCCAAACAUCAAAUAUAUCAAUGAUUAAGAUAUUGGUGAGAGGCAUCUGGUUUCUAGCAUGUAAAUUACCCAUCCGUUGGCAUCUAUCACAUGAAGCACAAAAAACAUAAGCAUCCUUAAAAAGGGUAGGCCAAAAGAAACCUGAUUGUAGCACCUUGCUGGCAGUCUUCUUUGCUCCAAAAUGGCCUCCGCAUGCGUGGGAGUGACAAAACUCCAGAAUGCUCUUAAAAUCACCUUCAGGCACACACCUUCGAAUUACUUGGUCUGGACAAUGCUUGAAUAGAUAGGGAUCAUCCCAAAAGUAGUAUCUUGCUUGCUUCCUAAGCUUGUCACGUUGGAACGUAGAUAACCCUGUAGGGAGUUCGUUAGUGCACAAAUAGUUAACAAUAUCAGCAAACCAAGGCAAUGGAUUGAGAGAAUUCAAAGCACAAAUGGAGAAGAGUUGCUCAUCAGGGAAGCUUUCACGCAAUGGCAAUGAAUCCUCCUCUUCGUUAGAUACAUGCACCAAUCUACUCAAGUGAUCAGCCACGACAUUCUCACUUCCUUUCUUAUCUUUUAUCUCCAAGUCAAACUCUUGCAACAAGAGAAUCCAUCUAAUGAGUCGCGGUUUGGCAUCCUUCUUAGCUAACAAGUAUUUCAAUGCUGCAUGAUCAGUGUAAACAAUAACCUUGUUAGUAAUCAAAUAUGAUCUAAACUUCUCUAAAGCAAAUAUGACGGCUAACAACUCCUUCUCUGUGGUGGAAUAGUUGAGUUGGGCAUCGUUGAGGGUUCUACUAGCAUAGUAGAUGGCAUGUGGCUUCUUAUCAACUCGCUGUCCCAAAACAGCUCCAACAACAUAAUCUGAGGCAUCACACAUCAAUUCAAAGGGCAAGCUCCAAUCCGGUGGUAUAAUGACUGGGGCAGUUGUGAGCAUCUUCUUCAAAGCAUUGAAAGCAUUCUCACAGUCUUGAUCAAACACAAAAUCCAUGUCCUUGGCAAGGAGAUUGCACAUAGGCCUUGCAAUCUUAGAAAAAUCCUUAAUGAAACGCCUAUAGAAACCUGCAUGGCCAAGGAAAGAACGUACUUCUUUGACAGAAGUAGGUGAGGGCAUAGAGGCAAUCAAAUCAAUCUUAGCUUUAUCUACCUCAAUUCCUUUACUAGAGAUGACAUGACCAAGAACUAUGCCUUGGUUAACAAUAAAAUGACAUUUUUCCCAAUUAAGCACAAGGUUAGUAUGUUCACAUCUAGCCAACACCUUGGAUAAGUUAUGCAAGCAUUGAUCAAAAGAAUCACCAAAGACAGAGAAGUCAUCCAUGAAUACCUCAAUGAACCUUUCUACCAUGUCGGAGAAAAUGCUCAUCAUGCACCUUUGAAAAGUGGCUGGGGCGUUACAGAGACCAAAAGGCAUCCUCCUAUAGGCGAAAGUGCCAAAGGGACAUGUGAACGUGGUCGAUCCGCAGGCCGUGCAGCUAUGGCGAUUUGGUUGUAGCCUGAAUAUCCAUCAAGGAAGCAAUAGUGGCUAUGCCCAGCUAAUCUCUCAAGCAUUUGAUCAAUGAAUGGAAGAGGAAAGUGAUCUUUGCUUGUUGCUGUGUUGAGCUUCCUAUAAUCAAUGCAAACUCUCCAGCCCGUGGUCAUCCGUGUAGGUACAAGCUCGUUUGCUUCAUUCUUCACCACUGUGAUACCUGACUUCUUGGGGACAACUUGCACUGGGCUCACCCAUUGACUGUCAGAAAUAGGGUAAAUAAUACCAACAUUUAAAAGCUUCAUUACCUCUUUUCUUACCACCUCCUUCAUGUUUGGAUUGAGACGUCUUUGGGCAUCCCUCUUAGGCAUUGCAUUGUCUUCCAAUAAUAUCUUGUGCAUGCACAGUGUUGGGCUUAUGCCUUUGAUAUUUGCAAUGCUCCACCCAAUCGCAGUUUUGUGCUCUUUUAGAACUCUCAAAAGCUUCUUUUCAUCAUUUGGUCCGAGAUGUGAGGCAAUGAUAACAGGUAGAGUCUCAUUUUCACCUAAAUAAGCAUAUUUAAGGUGUUUUGGCAAUUGCUUUAAUUCCAACUCUGGUGCCUGCACAAUAGAAGGUAAAACCUUAUUAGUAGGUGGGGGUAAUGAUUCAAAUUGGUUUGCAUACCUCUUUCCAAUUUCUAUGUAGCUAUCCAUGCUGCAAACAAGCUCAAGAAGUAAAAAGAUCACAGCCUCAAAGCUGUCCACUUCUUCUUUCCUUAUGCUUUGUGUGAUGCAUGCUUCAAUGGGCUCCAAAUAACUCAUUGGCAGUGCUUCUUUCACCAUAGUAUCAAUUGCAUCAAGAUGGAAAACUUCAUGCUCAUCACUUGGAAACUUGGAGGCUUCAAACACUUUGAAUGCUAUUGUCUCAUCAAACACAUUCAUGGUCAAUGUACCCUUCUUCACAUCAAUAAUAGCACCGGCAGUUGCCAUGAAUGGCCGACCUAGAAUGAGUGGUAACUGAUUGUCAUGAAUUGGUGCUUCUUCCAUCUCCAACACCAAGAAAUCUGCUGGCAAAAUUAGCUCUUCCACUUUCACCAAAACAUCUUCUAGAAUGCCCUUAGGGUACCUAAUAGUUCUAUCUGCCAAUUGAAUGCUCACAGAUGUGGCUUGCAACUCACCAAGGUUAAGUUUCUCAUAAACAUGAUAUGGCAUAAGAUUUAUAGAAGCACCAAGAUCAAGCAAAGCUUUUUGAAACUUAAAAUCACCAACUAUGCAAGGUAUAGAAAACGAACCUGGAUCCUUUAGCUUUGGAGGCAGGUUUCUUUGUAACACUGCACUUACCUCUUCACUCAAUGCAACUUGUUCAUGCUCUUUGAAUCUCCUCUUGUUAGUGCAUAGAUCCUUCAAAAAAUUUGCAUACUUUGGAAUCUGAGUAAUGGCAUUGAGCAAUGGGAUGUUGAUUUGCACCUUCUUGAAUGUUUCCAUUAUCUCAUCCAAGCCUUGAUCUUUCUUUGACUUUGAUAACCUGCUGGGAAAGGGUGCAAUAGGCCUAAAAGCAUUAGUUGAAAUUGGAACUUGAUUAGCAUUAGAUGAUACCUUAGGGCCUGUGCUCUUUCCAGGAGCAUUGAUGGACUGAUUGUUGGAAGCUGUGGGCUGCCCAUGUGGUGGCUGAAUGAUCUCCACGUUUUCUCCAUCUUCUUGUUCUUCAUUGGCAUCUCCAACCUUAUUAUCAACUUGUUUACCACUUCUCAAGAUGUGUACUGCUUUAGCAUGCUCUUGAUGCCUUGGAUUCACCUCCGUUUGGCUUGGGAAAGUUCCGGAUGCUCUAUUGCUCAUGGAGGAUGCAAUCUGCCCAACUUGCACUUCUAGUUUGUUCACUGCAUUUUGAAGAUUCUGAUUGGUUUGCAUCUGUUGCCCCAUGAACUUCUUGAACAUGUCUUGCAAUUCUCCCAUUUGAUCACCCCUUUGCUCUUGCACUUGUUGCGGAGCUUGUUGGAAUUGCCUUUGUUGUGUUUGGAAUCCUGGGGGAGGUCCUUGAGAUUGUUGCACAUUUGAAUUGUUGCUCCACCUGAAAUUAGGAUGAUUUCUCCACCCCGGAUUGUAUGUGUUUGAGUAAGGAUCAUUAUUAGGAUUCCUUGCUUGAAGGGAAUUUGCUUGUUCUAGCAUGUGCUCCGCAAAAGAUUGGUCUACAAACUUCCACUUUGUUUCCUAGAGGGCCAGUCACUGCCUGUUGAAGCAAAGAACACAUAACAUCAAGUUUUGCAGCAAUUUCAUUAUUAGUACUUACCUCAGAGACCACAGCUUUCAUAGGAGCUCCUCUUCCUUUAUUGUGGCUCCAUUGUUGAGAGUUAGCACUCAAGGAUUCAAAGAGAGUAAAAGCCUCAUCUGCUGUUUUGUUCAUCAGUCCUUCUCCACUUGUUGAAUCUACCAUCAUCCUUUCGGAAUCAAGUAAACCUUCAUAGAAAGAUUGCAUUUGCAUCCAACUCUCUAUGUUGUGGUGUGGGCAAGAACUUAUCAUCUCCUUGUACCUCUCCCAACAUUCAUGAAAAGCUUCUCCUUCCUUUUGUGUGAAACCAAGAAUUUCCUUUCUAAUCUUGUUAGUCUUUUGAGCCGGAAAAAAUUUCUGCAAAAACUUAUUAGAAAGCUCUUCCCAAGUAUGAAUUGAAGCAUUAGGAAAAGAGUAUAACCAAGACUUAGCUUUAUCUUUUAAACUGAAUGGGAAUAGCCUCAUCUUAAUCUGCUCAUCAUCAAGGUUUUGAAUUUUGAUCGUAGCACAUAUUUCAAAGAAUUGCUUAAUAUGCAUGUAAGGAUCCUCAGUGGUAUUACCAUAAUAAGUUGGAAGAAGAUGAAUCAUACCACUUUUAAGCUCAAACCUGUCAACUGUGAGUUGAGGAUAGACGAUGCAUAAAGGUUGAUCGGUGACUUUGGGAAUGGAAAACUCACGCAGGGAUUUUCUUGGUUGGACAACAAGCACACCACCUCCUUCAUCAUUGUUGUUGUUCGAAAUCUCUACCAUGUUGCUUGAACCUUCAGAUUCGUAACUUUUAGAUUCAACGCUUGAAGAACUAUAGUUCUUCCUCAAACCAGCAUGCACAGCAGCGGUUCUUGGUGAAAGUGGCUCAGGUGAACUUUGCUCCUGGUCAGAUUCGGACAUGCACACACCAAGGAAGUCAAUUCAGUGCCUUCAAUGGAGAUAACAACAAAAUACAAAACUGAAUACUAAAAGAAAAACCAACGAAAAGAAACAAAUGAAAUAAACAAAAACAAAACAAUCAAAGUAAUCUAACUAUAGCACCAUCAUUACCGGUUCCCCGGCAACGGCGCCAAAAACUUGUUGAGCCUAUUGUUAACAACUAAAAUGAGUUAUUAAAAACAGCAACUUUAAUUCUCGCAAGUGCACGAACCGUUUAUAGUAUAGCUUAUGUAAAUACGAGGUCGAUCCCACGGAGAGUGGUAACUUGGUUCCAAGUUAAAUUACUUAGAAUGUUAGAAAAAUAUAGAACAAAGAAACUGACUAACUAGCUAAAGGCAUGGUCGAAUUCAACAAUGCCUCUUGCUAAUUACUCAAGGUCUAGGACAGAAUCCUAGCACCACACACGCACUCGAAAUGGGGGGUUUUGUUGUUGAAAUGAAAACAAGGAAGUGAAAUGAAAGUGCUCGAAAGUGAACACUGGUAGCAAUCAACAAGUUGUGAAACAAUGAUUGAGAGGUGUUAGAGCCUUGGAAUCCACCACUAGUUUUCCUAUCCAAGUUAUGAAUGCAUAGAAAUUGACUCAAGCUUCAUUAGCAAUAGAUUAUCGCAUACAAGCCUAUGGUAUCUAGGUGCAGGAUGCAUGAUUCUCCUAAGGCAUGUGAUUAUGCAUGGUAUCUACACAACACGUGAUCUCUAAUAUGCAACCUAAGCAUGGUAUCUACUUAGAAUAAAGCAUACAAGAGUCAUUAAGCUCCUUGAGAAUAUGAUAAUCACACAAGUCCUAGAACAUGGUAUCUGUCCUAGUCAACCUAUGGUUAUUAACCCCUUGAAUGAUUCUUAGGCCAUUCAUGUGUUGCUUGUGAAAGGAGAGUAGAAUAGGUGAAUCUAAACCCCUUCCCAACCUAUGCUAGAUGCAUAAAAUCCUAGUUAGCUACUCCAAGAGAACAUACAUCAAGCACAUAAUAAACUAGAGAUUAACAACUUGAUAAUAAAAGCAAGGAAAUCAAUUAACUAUAAAAUCAUCCAUAACAUUGAAUAUUCAUGACUAGGGCUUCAUCCUAAGCCCUAACUAAAUGGAUUAGUUAGACAUAACUAUGAAUACAGAAAAUAAGAAAUACAUAGAUAGGAUAAAGAGACGAGAAGAACUAGAUGAUGGGAGCAAGGAAGUUCCCAGGACAGCUCCAAGCUCCCUUCUCUCUUUGUGGUGAAUCUGAAUGUGUGUAUGAAAGUAAUGGAUGAAAUGAAUGUGUGUGUCUGCCCUCUCUCCCCUUGAAUGAGUGUGCAACUCUCUAUUUAUAGAGUGCAAUUUCGUGCUCCCCUUUGGCUGGUGAAGCACACCUCUCUUAGCUGCUGCCAACUGCUCUAGCUGCCCAUACAUGCCUGUUGCUCCAGCUGCCCAUACUUGCCUGUUGGACUUUUCUUGGUUUUUGAGUUCCCAUACUGAUUUGUCUCCCAUGUGUGGCUGCUCUAAUGUGUAGCACAUGGCUCUAGGGAUGUAGCCACAUUAAAUAUGAUGGCAGCCAACACGAUAUUUCUGUGAACUUGGUUCAGUCUUUGACGUGUUGAGGGCUCCAGUUUUAUCCAAUUGGGCUGAAAUUUGGAUAUGUUAUAAUAGACACCCAUUGGAACAACGUCUAUGAAGGAUGUCUCCUCAUCCGACCUGUGUAAGUUACUGAAAUGAGGCCUGCAAGAUGACCUACGAAACUGGACUGACAAGGAGUGUGGCACAAAUUGGUUUUGUCUUUAAGCUCAUAUUCCUCUUGUGCCACUCAGCCCUUAACAUGCAUGAAUUGUAUCAAAUGUCAUCCCCUUGCUAUCUUAACCUACAAAGCACACAAACAUAGGUAAGAGACUCAAAAUAAAGAGAAGCUAACAAAAUUACUAAGGAAAGAAGGCAUGCAAAUGUGUGAAAUUAUGAACUUAUCAAAUACCCCCAAACUUAGAUUUUGCUAGUCCUCGAGCAAAACAAAAUAAAACUACAACUUAGGAAACAGGAAAUAAGCAACUAGCCUUCCAAACAAUAUCCUCAAAGAAUCAUCAGUGUAAAUGGUUCGAAAGAAACACAACAAUCACAAUCUAAGUUCCACACAUGAUUCACGAGAAAGCAAAGCUAGCAUUGACACCCUUAAGUGUAGUGUGUGAAUGCCAAAUCCGAACAACACCUGCAUCUCAAAUAAGUACAUGUGCACACACUUAGAGCAAAAUCAAGAAUGCCGAACCCCAUAAGCUCAUUAUUCAAUCUGCUCUCCAUAGUAAUACCAUGCAACACCAAGGAUCAAAAGGAGUUUACAAGGGUAGUAAUGAGGUUUAGGGUAGUGGUUGAAUGAAAGAAGGGAUAUGAGAUAUACAAUAUUUUGAGCACACUUAAAGCACAGGUAAGAGCAUAAGAGAGUACUGAACUUUGUAACAAGCAAGGAACACAUACAUGAGCAGAUUUUCAACAUAAUUUCAGCACCUUGAAAUGUGUUUAUUUGGCCUAAUUUUGUGGCUCUUACCCUAGAUCACAUUGAAAUGUGNNNNNNNNNNNNNNNNNNNNNNNNNNNNNNNNNNNNNNNNNNNNNNNNNNNNNNNNNNNNNNNNNNNNNNNNNNNNNNNNNNNNNNNNNNNNNNNNNNNNNNNNNNNNNNCUCCUCGCUCAUUGCGACAGUAGUGUAUUUCAACACUUGGGUUACGGCACCAAUUAUUCACUUUUGCUCAAUAAACCUUGCAUUCUUUAUAACUCUCUUUUGAAGAUAACUUUAAUUGCUCAUACAAUAAGUAAGGAUAAGAAAACAGAGGCUCAUUAUGGUAGGAUUCGUUUACACAAAGAAAGGCUUAACAUAGGCUCAAAUGGGAUGACUAGGGAUGAAUACAUGUAGAGGGAUGGUUAGAAAGGCUCAAACGGUUCAAACAUGGCCUAAAUCACUUCCUAAGCAUUGUAUGGCAACAAAAUGUCUCAAGAAAUAUUCAAAUAAGUUCUAGAGUACGAAACCAAGAUCAUGAGAUAAGUCCGAUUUCAAGGACCAAUCGAUAUCAGAACGAACUUCGUUGGAACCUGAAUAGUCCGAUUUCAAGGACCAAUCGAUAUCGGAUUGAGUCCAAAACUUGGGGAACAUCAUAAUAUUGUGGGAGGAGUCAUUUGGUGGCUUUUGAGUGAAAUCCAAACUUUAGAACUAUACAAUACACCAACCACCCCAUUUCAGAACGAACUUCGUACGAACCUGAAUUGUCCGAUUUCAAGGACCAAUCGAUAUCGGAUUGAGUCCAAAACUUGGGGAACAUCAUAAUAUUGUGGGAGUUGUCAUUUGGUGGGUUUUGAGUGAAAUCCAAUCCCUAGAACUAUACAAUACACCAAAAACUUCAUUUCAGAACGAACUUCGUACGAACUUGAAUUGUCUGAUUUCAUGGACCAUUCGAUAUCAGAUUGAGUCCAAAACUUGGGGGACAUCAUAGUAUUGUGGGAGGAGUCAUUUGGUGGCUUUUGGGUGAAAUCCAAUCCAGACAACUAUAAAAUACACCGACCACUCCAUUUCAGAACGACCUUCAUACGAACUUGAACUGUCAGAUUUCAUUGACUAAUCGAUAUCGGAUUGAGUCCAAAACUUGGGGAACACCAUAAUAUUAUGGGAGGAGUCAUUUGGUGGGUUUUGAGUGAAAUCCAAUCUCUAGAACUAUACAAUACACCGACCACCCCAUUUCAGAACAAACUUCGUACGAACCUGAAUUGUCCGAUUUCAAGGACCAAUCGAUAUCGGAUUGAGUCCAAAACUUGGGGAACAUCAUAAUAUUGUGGGAGGAGUCAUUUGGUGGGUUUUGAGUGAAAUCCAAUCCCUAGAACUAUACAAUACACCAACCACCCCAUUUCAAAACGAACUUCGUACGAAACUGAAUUGUCUGAUUUCAUUGACCAAUUGAUCACAGAUUGAGUCCAAAACUUGGGGAACAUCAUAAUAUUGUGGGAGGAGUCAUUUGGUAAGUUUUCAGUGCAAUACAAUCCCUAGAACUAUACAAUACACCAACCACUCCAUUUCAGAACGAACUUCGUACAAACCUGAAUUGUCAAAUUUCGUGGACCACUCGAUAUCCGAUUGAGUCCGAAACUUGGGGAACAUCAUAAUAUUGUGGGAGGAGUCAUUUGGUGGGUUUGAGUGAAAUCCAAUCUCUAGAACUANNNNNNNNNNNNNNNNNNNNNNNNNNNNNNNNNNNNNNNNNNNNNNNNNNNNNNNNNNNNNNNNNNNNNNNNNNNNNNNNNNNNNNNNNNNNNNNNNNNNUGGGGAACAUCAUAAUAUUGUGGGAGGAGUCAUUUGGUGGGUUUCGAGUGAAAUCCAAUCUCUAGAACUAUACAACACACCAACCACCCCAUUACAGAACGAACUUAGUAGGAACCUGAUUUGUCCGAUUUCAAGGACCAAUAGAUAUAGGAUUGACUCCAAAACUUGGGGAACAUCAUAAUAUUGUGGGAGGAGUCAUUUGGUGUGUUUUUAGUGAAAUCCAUUCUCUAGAACUAUACAAUACACCAACCACCCCAUUUCAGAAGGAACUUCGUACGAGCCUGAAUUGUCCGAUUUCAAGGACAAAUCGAUAUCGGAUUGAGUCCAAAACUUGGGGAACAUCAUAAUAUUGUGGGAGGAGUCAUUUGGUGGGUUUUGAGUGAAAUUCAAUCUCUAGAAUGAUACAAUACACCAACCACCCCAUUUCAGAAUGAACUUCGUACGAAUCUGAAUUGUCAGAUUUCAAGGUCCAAUCGAUAUCGGAUUGAGUCCAAAAAUUGGGGAACAUCAUAAUAUUGUGGGAGUUGUCAUUUGGCGGGUUUUGAAUGAAAUCCAAUCCCUAGAACUAUCCAAUACACCAACCCCUCCACUUCAGAAGGAACUUCAUACGAACUUGAAUUGUCAAAUUUCGUAGACCAAUCGAUAUCGGAUUGUGUCCAAAACUUGGGGAACAUCAUAAUAUUGUGGGAGCCGUCAUUUGGUGGGUUUUGAGUGAAAUCCAAUCUUUAGAACUAUACAAUACACCAACCACUCCAUUUCAUAACGAACUUCGUACUAACCUGCAUUCUCAAAUUUCGUGGACUGAUCGAUAUCGGAUUGAGUCCAAAACUUGGGGAACAUUAUAAUAUUGUGGGAGGAGUCACUUGGUGGGUUUUGAGUGAAAUCCAAUCUCUAGAACUAUACAAUACACCAACCACCCCAUUUCAGAAUGAACUUCGUAGGAACCUGAAUUGUCCGAUUUGAAGGACCAAUCGACAUCGGAUUGAGUCCAAAACUUGGGGAACAUCAUAAUAUUGUGGGAGGAGUCAUUUGGUAAGUUUUGAGUGAAAUACAAUCCCUAGAACCAUACAAUACACCACCCACUACAUUUCAGAACGAACUUCGUACGAACUUGAAUUGUCAAAUUUCGUGGACCGAUCGAUAUCGGAUUGAGUCCAAAACUUGGGGAGCAUAAUAAUCUUGUGGGAGGAGUCAUUUGGGGGGUUUUGAGUGAAAUCCAUUCUCUAGAACCAUACAAUACACCAACCACCCCAUUUCAGAACGAACUUCGUACGAACCUGAAUUGUCCGAUUUGAAGGACCAAUCGAUAUCGGAUUGAGUCCAAAACUUGGGGAACAACAUAAUAUUGUGGGAGGAGUCAUUUGGUUCGUUUUGAUUGAAAUCCAAUCUCUAGAACUAUACAAUACACCAACCACCCCAUUUCAGAACGAACUUCGUAGGAACCUGAAUUGUCCGAUUUCACGGACCAAUCGAUAUCGGAUUGAGUCCAAAACUUGGGGAACAUCAUAAUAUUGUUGGAGGAGUCAUUUGGUGGGUUUUGAGUGAAAUCCAAUCUCUAGAAUUAUACAAUACACCAACCACCCCAUUUCAGAACGAACUUCGUACGAACCUGAANNNNNNNNNNNNNNNNNNNNNNNNNNNNNNNNNNNNNNNNNNNNNNNNNNNNNNNNNNNNNNNNNNNNNNNNNNNNNNNNNNNNNNNNNNNNNNNNNNNNNNNNNNNNNNNNNNNNNNNNNNNNNNNNNNNNNNNNNNNNNNNNNNNNNNNNNNNNNNNNNNNNNNNNNNNNNNNUAAGGACCAAUCGAUAUCGGAUCAGUCCAAAACUUGGGGAACAUCAUAAUAUUGUGGAGGGAGCCAUUUGGUAAUUUUUGAGUGAAAUACAUUCCCAAGAACUAUACAAUUCACCACCCAGUCAAUUUCAGAACGAAAUUGAUGGGAACUUGAAUAUUCAAAUUUCAUGGACCAAUUAAUAUCGGAUUGAUUCCAAAACUUGGGGAAAAUCAUAAUUUGUUGGGGGUAGUCAUUUGGGGGGUUUUGAGUGAAAUCCAUUCUCUGGAACUAUCCAAUACACCAACCACCCCAUUUCAGAAGGAAUUUGGUACGAACCUGAAUGUCCGAUUUGAAGGACCAAUCGAUAUCGGAUUGAGUCAAAAACUUGGGGAACACCAUAAUAUUGUGGGAGGAGUCAUUUGGUUCGUUUUGAGUGAAAUCCAAUCUCUAGAAUUAUACAAUACACCAACCACCCCAUUUCAGAAUGAACUUCGUAGGAACCUGAAUUGUCCGAUUUCAAGGAGCAAUCGAUAUCGGAUUGAGUCCAAAACUUGGGGAACAUCAUAAUCUUGUGGGACGAGUCAUUUGGUGGGUUCUGAGUGAAAUCCAAUCUUUAGAACUAUACAAUACACCAACCACCCCAUUUCAGAAUGAACUUCGUCGGAACCUGAAUUGUCCGAUUUUAAGGACCAAUCGAUAUCGGAUUGAGUCCAAAACUUGGGGAACAUCAUAAUAUUGUGGAAGGAACCAUUUGGUAAGUUUUGAGUGAAAUACAAUCCCCAGAACUAUACAAUUCACCACCCACUCAAUUUCAGAACGAACUUCGUGCGAACUUGAAUUGUCAAAUUUCGUGGACCGAUCGAUAUCGGAUUGAGUCCAAAACUUGGGGAGCAUCAUAAUCUUGUGGGAUUAGUCAUUUGGGGGGUUUUGAGUGAAAUCCAUUCUCUAGAACUAUACAAUACACCAACCACCCCAUUUCAGAACGAACUUCGUACGAACCUGAAUGUCCGAUUUGAAGGACCAAUCGAUAUCGGAUUGAGUCCAAAACUUGGGGAACACCAUAAUAUUGUGGGAGGAGUCAUUUGGUUCAUUUUGAGUGAAAUCCAAUCUCUAGAAUAUACAAUACACCAACCACCCCAUUUCAGAAUGAACUUCGUACGAACCUGAAUUGUCCAAUUUCAAGGACCAAUCGAUAUCGGAUGAGUACAAAAGUUGGGGAACGUCAUAAUAUUGUGGGAGGAGUCAUUUGGUGGGUUUUGAGUGAAAUACAAUCUCUAGACCUAUACAAUACACCAACCACCCCAUUUCAGAACGAACUUCGUACGAACCUGAAUUGUCCGAUUUCAAGGACCAAUCGAUAUCGGAUUGAGUCCAAAACUUGGGGAACAUCAGAAUAUUGUGGGAGCAGUCAUUUGGUGCGUUUUGAGUGAAAUCCAAUCUUUAGAACUAUACAAUACACCAACCACCUCAUUUCAGAACGAACUUCGUACGAACCUGAAUUGUCCAAUUUCAAGGACCAAUCGAUAUCGGACUGAGUACAAAGGUUGGGGAACGUCAUAAUAUUGUGGGAGGAGUCAUUUGGUGGGUUUUGAGUGAAAUCCAAUCUCUAGACCUAUACAAUACACCAACCUCCUCAUUUUAGAACGCACUUCGUACGAAUCUGAAUUGUCCGAUUUGAAGGACCAAUUGAUAUCGGAUUGAGUCCAAAACUUGUGGAACAUCAUAAUCUUGUGGGAGGAGUCAUUUGGUGGUUUUGAGUGAAAUCCAAUCUCUAGAACUAUACAAUACACCAACCACCCCAUUUCAGAAUGAACUUCGUAGGAACCUGAAUUGUCCGAUUUCAAGGACCAAUCGAUAUCGGAUUGAGUCCAAAACUUGGGGAACAUCAUAAUAUUGUGGGAGGAGUCAUUUGGUAAGUUUUGAGUGAAAUACAAUCCCCAGAACCAUACAAUUCACUGCCCAUUCCAUUUAGAACGAAUUAGUAAAAACGUGAAUUGUCAAAUUUUGUGGACCGAUGGAUUCGGAUUGAGUCCAAAACUUGGGGAGCAUCAUAAUCUUGUGGGAGGAGUCAUUUGGGGGGUUUUGAGUGAAAUCCAUUCUCUAGAACUAUACAAUACACCAACCACCCCAUUUCAGAACGAACUUCGUACGAACCUGAAUUGUCCGAUUUGAAGGACCAAUCGAUAUCGGAUUGAGUGCAAAACUUGGGGAACACCAUAAUAUUGUGGGGGGAGUCAUUUGGUUCGUUUUGAGUGAAAUCCAAUCUCUAGAAUUAUACAAUACACCAACCACCCCAUUUAAAAAUGAACUUCGUAGGAACCUGAAUUGUCCGAUUUCAAGGACCAAUCGAUAUCGGACUGAGUCUAAAGGUUGGGGAACAUCAUAAUAUUGUGGGAGGAGUCAUUUGUUGGUUUUGAGUGAUAUCCAAUCUCUAAAACUAUACAAUACACCAACCACCCCACUUAUGAACGAACUUCGUACGAACCUGAAUUGUCCGAUUUCAAGUACCAAUCGAUAUCGGAUUGAGUCUGAAACUUGGGGAACAUCAUAAUAUUGUGGGAGGAAUCAUUUGGUGGGUUUUGACUGAAAUCCAAUCUCUAGACCUAUACAAUACACCAACCUCCUCAUUUCAGAACGAACUUCGUACGAACUUGAAUUGUCCGAUUUCAAGGACCAAUUGAUAUCGGAUUGAGUCCAAAACUUGGGGAACAUCAUAAUCUUGUGGGAGGAGAAAUUUGGUGGUUUUGAGUGAAAUCCAAUCUCUAGAACUAUACAAUACACCAACGACUCCAUUUCAGAACGAACUUCGUACGAACCUGAAUUGUCCGAUUUCAUUGACCAGUCGAUAACGGAUUGAGUCCAAAAGAUGGGGAACAUCAUAAUAUUGUGGGAGGAGUCAUUUGGUAUGUUUUGAGUGAAAUACAAUCCCUAGAACUAUACAAUACACCAACCACUCCAUUUCAGAAUGAACUUCGUACGAACCUGAAUUGUCAAAUUUCGUGGACCGAUCGAUAUCGGAUUGAGUCCAAAACUUGGGGAACAUCAUAAUAUUGUGGGAGGAGUCAUUUGGUGCGUUUUGAGUGAAAUCCAACCUCUAGAGCUAUACAAUGCACCAAUCACCCCAUUUCAGAACGAACUUCGUACGAACAUGAAUUGUCCGAUUUCAAGGACCAAUCGAUAUCGGAUUGAGUCCAAAAGUUGGGAAACAUCAUAAUAUUGUGGGAGGAGUCAUUUGGUGGGUUUUGGGUGAAAUCCAAUCUCUAGACCUAUACAAUACACCAACCUCCUCAUUUCAGAACGAACUUCGUACGAACCUGAAUUGUCCGAUUUCAAGGACCAAUCUAUAUCGGACAGAGUCCAAAAGUUGGGGAACGUCAUAAUAUUGUGGGAGGAAUCAUUUGGUAAGUUUUGAGUGAAAUACAAUCCCCAGAACCAUACAAUACACCAACCACCCCAUUUCAGAACGAACUUUGUACGAACCUGAAUUCUCCGAUUUCAAGGACCAAUCGAUAUUGGAUUGAGUCCAAAACUUGGGGAGCAACAUAAUCUUGUGGGAGGAGUAAUUUGGUGGGUUUUUAGUGAAAUCCAAUCUCUAGAACUAUACAAUACACCACCCACCCCAUUUCAGAACGAACUUCGUACGGACCUGAAUUGUCCGAUUUCAAGGACCAAUCGAUAUCGGAUUGAGUCCAAAACUUGGGGAACAUUAUAAUAUUGUGGGAGGAGUCACUUGGUGGGUUUUGAGUGAAAUCCAAUCUCUAGAACUAUACAAUACCCCAACCACCCCAUUUCAGAACGAACUUCGUAGGAACCUGAAUUGUCCGAUUUCAUGGACCAAUCGAUAUCGGAUUGAGUCCAAAACUUGGGGAAUAUCAUAAUAUUGUGGGAGGAGUCAUUUGGUGGGUUUUGAGUGAAAUCCAAUCUCUAGAACUGUACAAUACACCAACCACCCCAUUUCAGAACUAACUGCGUACGAACCGAAUUGUCCGAUUUCUAGGACCAAUCGAUAUCGGAUUGAGUCCAAAACUUGGGGAAUAUCAUAAUAUUGUGGGAGGAAUCAUUUGGUGGGUUUUGAGUGAAAUCCAAUCUCUAGAACUGUACAAUACACCAACCACCCCAUUUCAGAACGAACUUCGUACGAACCCGAAUUGGCCGAUUUCAAGGACCAAUCGAUAUCGGAUUGAGUCCAAACCUUGGGAACAUCAUAAUAUUGUGGGAGGGGUCAUUUGGUGGGUUUUGAGUGGAAUCCAAUCUCUAGAACUGUACAAUACACCAACCACCCCAUUUCAGAACGAACUUCGUACGGACCCGAGUUGUCCGAGUUCAAGGACCAAUCGAUAUCGGGAUUGAGUCCAAACCUUGGGAACAUUAUAAUAUUAUGGGAGGAGUCAUUUGGUGGGUUUUGAGUGAAAUGCAAUCUCUAGAACUAUACAAUACCCCAACCACCCCAUUUCAGAACGAACUUCGUAAGAACCUGAAUUGUCCGAUUUCAUGGACCAAUCGAUAUCGGAUUGAGUCCAAAACUUGGGGAAGAUCAUAGUAUUGUGGGAGGAGUCAUUUGGUGGGUUUUGAGUGAAAUCGAAUCUCUAGAACUAUACAACACACCAACCUCCCCAUUUCAGAACGAACUUCGUACGAACCUGAAUUGUCCGAUUUCAGGGACCAAUCGAUAUCGGAUUGAGGGGGGGAACUUGGGGAACAUCAUAAUAUUGUGGGAGGAGUCAUUUGGUGGGUUUUGAGUGAAAUCCAAUCUCUAGAAUUAUACAAUACACCAACCACCCCAUUUCAGAAUGAACUUUGUAGGAACCUGAAUUGUCCGAUUUCAAGGACCAAUCGAUAUCGGACUGAGUCCAAAACUUGGGGGAACAUCAUAAUAUUGUGGGAGGAGUCAUUUGGAAUGUUUUGAGUGAAAUACAAUCCCUAGAACUAUACAAUACACCAACCACUCCAUUUCAGAACGAACUUCGUACGAACCUGAAUUGUCAACUUUCGUGGACCGAUCGAUAUCGGAUUGAGUCCAAAACUUGGGGAACAUCAUAAUAUUUUGGGAGGAGUCAUUUGGUACAUUUUGAGUGAAAUCCAACCUCUAGAACUAUACAAUGCACCAACCACCCCAUUUCAGAACGAAUUUCGUAGGAAACUGAAUUGUCCGAUUUUAAGGACCAAUUGAUAUCGGAUUGAGUCCAAAACUUGGGGAACUGUCGUGGGAGGAGUCAUUUGGUGGGUUUUGAGUGAAAUCCAAUCUCUAGAACUAUACAAUACACCAAUCACCCCAUUUCAGAACGAACUUCGUACGAAUAUGAAUUGUCCGAUUUCAAGGACCAAUCGAUAUCGGACAGAGUCCAAAAGUUGGGGAACGUCAUAAUAUCGUGGGAGGAGUCAUUUGGUGGGUUUUGAGUGAACUCCAAUCUCUAGACCUAUACAAUACACCAACCUCCUCAUUUCAGAACGAACUUCGUUCGAACAUGAAUUGUCCGAUUUCAAGGACCAAUUGAUAUCGGACUUAGUCCAAAACUUGGGGAACAUCAUAAUCUUGUGGGAGGAGUCAUUUGGUGGUUUUGAGUGAAAUCCAAUCCCUAGAACUAUACAAUACACCAACCACCCCAUUUCAGAAUGAACUUUCGUAGGAACCUGAAUUGUCCGAUUUCAAGGACCAAUCGAUAUCGGACUGAGUCCAAAAGUUGUGGAACAUAAUAAUAUUGUGGCAGGAGUCAUUUGGUGGGUUUUGAGUGAAAUCCAAUCUUUAGAAUUAUACAAUACACCAACCACCCCAUUUCAGAAUGAACUUCGUAGGAACCUGAAUUGUCCGAUUUCAAGGACCAAUCUAUAUCGGACAGAGUCCGAAAGUUGGGGAACAUCAUAAUAUUGUGGGAGGAGUCAUUUGGUGGGUUUUGAGUGAAAUCCAAUCUCUAGACCUAUACAAUACACCAACCUCCUCAUUUCAGAACGAACUUCGUACGAACUUGAAUUGUCCGAUUUCAAGGACCAAUUGAUAUCGGAUUGAGUCCAAAACUUGGGGAACAACAUAAUCUUGUGGGAGGAGUCAUUUGGUGGGUUUUGAGUGAAAACCAAUCUCUAGAACUAGACAAUACACCAACCACCCCAUUUCAGAAUGAACUUUGUAGGAACCUGAAUUGUCCGAUUUCAAGGACCAAUCGAUAUCAGAUUGAGUCCAAAACUUCGGGAACAUCAUAAUAUUGUGGGACGAGUCAUUUGGUAAGUUUUGAGUGAAAUAGAAUCCAAAGAACCAUACAAUACACCACCCACUCCAUUUCAGAACGAACUUCGUACGAACCUGAAUUGUCAAAUUUCGUGGACCGAUCGAUAUCGGAUUGAGUCCAAAACUUGGGAAGCAUCGAAAUCUUGUGGGAGGAGACAUUUGGUGGGUUUUGAGUGAAAUCCAAUCUCUAGAACUAUACAAUACACCAACCACCCUAUUUCAGAACGAACUUCGUACGAACCUGAAUUGUUCGAUUUCGAGGACCAAUCGAUAUCGGAUUGAGUCCAAAACUUGGGGAACAUUAUAAUAUUGUGGGAGGAGUCAUUUGGUGGGUUUUGAGUGAAAUCCAAAAUCUAGAACAAUACAAUACCCCAACCACCCCAUUUCAGAACGAACUUUGUAGGAACCUGAAUUGUCCGAUUUCAAGGACCAAUCGAUAUCGGAUUGAGUUCAAAACUUGGGGAGGAUCAUAAUAUUGUGGGAGGAGUCAUUUGGUAAGUUUUGAGUGAAAUACAAUUCCCAGAACCAUACAAUACACCACCCACCCCAUUUAAGAAGGAACUUCGUACGAACCUGAAUUGUCAAAUUUCGUGGACCGAUCGAUAUCUGAUUGAGUCCAAAACUUGGGGAGCAACAUAAUCUUGUGGGAGGAGUCAUUUGGUGGGUUUUGAGUGAAAUUCAAUCUCUAGAGCUAUACAAUACACCAACCACCCCAUUUAAGAACGAACUUCGUACGAACCUGAAUUGUCCGAUUUCAAGGACCAAUCGAUAUCGGAUUGAGUCCAGAACUUGGGGAGUAACAUAAUCUUGUGGGAGGAGUCAUUUGGUGGGUUUUGAGUGAAAUCCAAUCUCUAGAACUAUACAAUACACCAACCACCCCAUUUCAAAACGAACUUCGUACGAACCUGAAUUGUCCGAUUUCAAGGACCAAUCGAUAUCGGAUUGAGUCCAAAACUUGGGGAACAUUAUAAUAUUGUGGGAGGAGUCAUUUGGUGGAUUUUGAGUGAAAUCCAAUCUCUAGAACUAUACAAUACCCCAACCACCCCAUUUCAGAAUGAACUUCGUAGGAACCUGAAUUGUCCGAUUUUAAGGACCAAUCGAUAUCGGCUUGAGUCCAAAACUUGGGGAACAUCAUAUUAUUGUGGGAGGAAUCAUUUGGUGGGUUUUGAGUGAAAUCCAAUUUCUAGAACUAUACAAUACACCAACCACCCCAUUUCAGAACGAACUUCGUACGAACCUGAAUUGUCCGAUUUCAAGGACCAAUCGAUAUCGGAUUGAGCCCAAAACUUGGGGAACAUCAUGUUGUGAUGGGAGGUGUCAUUUGGUAGGUUUUGAGUGAAAUCCAAUCUCUAGAACUAUGCAAUACGCCAACCACCCCAUGUCAGAACGAACUUCGUACGAACCUGAAUUGUACAAUUUCAAGGACCAAUCGAUAUCGGAUUGAGUCUAAAACUUGGGGAACAUCAUAAUAUGGUGGGAGGAGCCAUUUGGUUGGUUUUGAGUGAAAUCCAAUCUAUAAAACUAUGCAAUAUACCAACCACUCCAUUUCAAAACGAACUUCGUACGAACCUGAAUUGUCCAAUUUCAUGGACCAAUCAAUAUCGGAUUGAGCCCAAAACUUGGGGAACAUCAUGUUGUGAUGGGAGGUGUCAUUUGGUAGGUUUUGAGUGAAAUCCAAUCUCUAGAACUAUGCAAUACGCCAACUACUCCAUUUCAGAACGAACUUCGUACGAACCUGAAUUGUCCAAUUUCAUGGACCAAUUGAUAUCGGAUUGAGUCCAAAACUCGGGGAACAUUAUAAUAUGGCGGGAGUAGUCAUUUGGUUGGUUUUGAGUGAAAUCCAAUCUAUAAAACUGUGCAAUAUACCAACCACCCCAUUUCAGAACGAACUUCGCAUGAACAUGAAUUUUCCAAUUUCAUGGACCAAUCGAUAUUGGAUUGAGUCCAAAACUUGGGGAACAUCAAAACAUGGUGGAAGGAGUCAUUUGGUGAGUUCUGAGUGAAAUCCAAUAUCUAAAACUUUGCAACACGACAACCACUCCAUUUCUGAACGAACUUUGUACGAACCAGAAUUGUGCAAUUUCAUGGACCAAUUGAUAUCGGAUUGAGUCCAAAACUUGGGGAACAUCAUAAUAUGAUGGGAGCAGUCAUUUCAUGAGUUUUGAGUGAAAUCUAUUCUAUAAAACUAUGCAAUACACCAAGCACUGCAUUUCAGAACGAACUUCGUACGAACCUGAAUUGUCCAAUUUCGUGGACCAAUCGAUAUCGGAUUGAGUCCGAAACUUGGGGAACAUCAUAAUAUGGUGGGAGGAGUCAUUUCGUGUGUUUUGAGUGAAAUGCAAUCUCUAAGACUAUGCAAUACAACAACCACUCCAUUUCAGAACGAACUUCGUAUGAACCUGAGUUGUCAAAUUUCAUGGACCAAUCGAUAUCUUAUUGAGUCCAAAACUUGGGGAAUAUCAUAAUAUGGUCGGAGAAGUCAUUUCGUGAGUUUUGAGUGAAAUCUAAUCUCUAAAACUAUGCAAUACACCAACCACUCCAUUUCAGAACGAACUUCGUACGAACCUGAAUUGUGCAAUUUCAUGGACCAAUUGAUAUCAGAUUGAGUCCAAAACUUUGGGAACAUCAUAAUAUGGUGGGAGGAGUCAUUUUGUGAGUUUUGAGUGAAAUCCAAUCUCUAAAACUAUGCAAUACAACAACCACUGCAUUUCAGAACGAACUUUGUACGCACCUGAAUUGUCCAAUUUCAUAGACCAAUCGAUAUCAGAUUGAGUCCAAAACUUGGAAAACAUCAUAAUAUGGUGGGAGGAGUCAUAACGUGAGUUUUGAGUGAAAUCCAAUAUCUAAAACUAUGCAAAAGACAAACCACUCCAUUUCAGAACGAACUUCGUACGAACCUGAAUUGUCCAAUUUCGUGUACCAAUUGAUAUCGGGUUGAGUCCAAUACUUGGGGAACGUCAUAAUAUGGCGGGAGGAGUCAUUUGGUGAGUUUUGAGUGAAAUGCAAUCUCUAAAACUAUGCAAUACAACAACCACUCCAUUUCAGAACGAACUUCGUACGAACCUGAAUUGUCCAAUUUCCUGGACCAAUCGAUAUCGGAUUGAGUCCAAAACUUGGGGAACAUCAUAGUAUGGUGGGAGGUGUCAUUUGGUAGGUUUUGAGUGAAAUCCAAUCUCUAGAACAAUGCAAUACGCCAACCACUCUAUUUCAGAAUGAACUUCGUACAAACAUGAAUUACCCAAUUUCAGCAACCCAUCGAUAUGGGAUUGAGUCCAAAACUUGGGGAACAUCAGAAAAUGGUGGGAGGAGUCAUUUGGAGCUCUUUGAGUGAAUUCCAAUCUCUAAAACUAUGCAAUACACCAACCACUCCAUUUCAGAACGAACUUUGUACGAACCGGCAUUGUCCAAUUUCACGGACCAAUCAAUAUCGGAUUGAGUCUGAAACAUAGGGAACAUCAUAAUAUGGUGGGAGGAGCCAUUUGGUGCUCUUUGAGUGAAAUCCAAUGUGUAGAACUAGGCAAUACACCAACCACUCCAUUUCAGAAAGAACUUCGUACCAACCGGAAUUGUUCAAUUGGACAGACCAAUCGAUAUCGGAUUGAGUCCAAAACUUGGGAAACACCAUAGUAUGAUGGGAGGAGUCAUUUGGUAGGUUUUGAGUGAAAUCCAAUAUCUAAAACUAUGCAAAACACCAACCACCCCAUUUCAAAACGAACUAUGUAUGAACCUGAAUUGUCUAAUUUCAUGGAUCAAUCGAUGUUGGAUUGCGGCAAAAACUUGGGGAACAUCAUAAUAUGAUGGGAGGACUCAUUUGCUUAGUUUUGAGUGAAAUCCAAUGUCUAAAACUAUGCAACACACCAACCACUCCAUUUUAGAACGAACUUCGUACGAACCUGAAUUGUACAAUUUUUUGGACAAAUCGAUUUCGGAUUGAACCCAAAGCUUGGGGAACAUCAUAAGAUGGUGGGAGGGCUCAUUUGGUAGGUUUUGAGAGAAAUCCAAUAUCUAGAACUAUGCAAUAAAAUAACCACUCCAUUUCUUAAUGAACUUCGUACGAACCUGAAUUGUUCAAUUUCAUUGGCCAAUCGAUAUCGGAUUGAGUCCAAAACUUGGGGAACGUCAUAAUACGGUGGGAGGAGUCAUUUGGUUUGUUUUGAGUGAUAUCGAAUCUCUCUAGAACUGGGCAAUACACCAACAACUCCAUUUCAGAAUGAAAUUCGUACGAACCUGAAUUGUCCGAUUUCAUGGACCAAUCAAUAUGGGAUUCAGUACAAAACUUGGGGAAUAUCAUAAUAUGGUGGGGGGAGCCGUUUGGUUGGUUUUGAGAGAAAUCCAAUCUCUAGAACUGUGCAAUGCACCAACCAAUACAUUUCAGAACAAAAAUCGUACGAACCUGAAUUGUCCAAUAUCUUAGCCCAAUCCAUAUCGGAUUGAGCCUAAAACUUGGGCAACAUCAUAAUAUGGUGGGAGGAGUCAUUUGGUAGGUUUUGAGAGAAAUCCAAUCUCUAAAACAAUGCAAUACACCAACCACACCAUUUCAGAACAAAGUUCGUACGAACCUAAAUGCUCCAACUUCAUGGACCGAUCGAUAUAGGAUUGAGUCCAAAACUUGGGCAAGAUCAGCAUAUGGUGGGAGGAGUCAUUUGGUGAGUUUUGUGAGAAAUCCAAUCAAUAAAAUUACGCAAUACACCAACCACUCCAAUUACAUGGGCCAAUCGAUGUUAGAUUGUGUGCAAAACUUGGGGAACAUCGUACUAUGGUGGGAGGAGUCAUUUGGAAGGUUUUGAGUGAUUUCCAAUCUCUAGAACUAUGCAAUGAACCAAAAACUCCAUUUCGGAACGACCUUCGUAUGAACCUGAAUUGUCCAAUUUUUUGGAAAAAUAGAUAACGGAUUGAGCCUAGAACUUGGGGAACAUCAUAAUAUGGUGGGAGGAGUCAUUUGGUUUGUUUUCAGUGAAAUCCAAUCUCUAGAACUGUGUAAUACACCAACCACUCCAUUUCAGAAUGAACUUCAUACGAAACUGAAUUGCCCAAUUUCAUGGACCAAUCAAUAUCAGAUUGAGUCGAAAACAAGGGAAACAUCAUAAUAUGGUGGGAGGAGUCAUUUGGUGAGUUUUGUGAGAAAUCCAAUCAAUAAAAUUACGCAAUACACCAACCACUCCAAUUACAAGGACCAAUCGAUGUUAGAUUGUGUCCAAAACUUGGGGAACAUCAUAAUAUGGUGGGAGGAGUCAUUUGGAAGGUUUUGAGUGAUUUCCAAUCUCUAGAACUAUGCAAUGAACCAAAAACUCCAUUUCGGAACGACCUUCGUACGAACCUGAAUUGUCCAAUUUUUUGGAAAAAUAGAUAACGGAUUGAGCCCAGAACUUGGGGAACAUCAUAAUAUGGUGGGAGGAGUCAUUUGGUUUGUUUUCAGUGUAAUCCAAUCUCUAAACCUAUGCAAUACACCAACCACUCCAUUUCAGAACGAACCUCGUACGAACCUGAAUUGUCCAAAUUUUUUGGAAAAAUAGAUAACGGAUUGAGCCCAGAACUUGGGGAACAUCGUAAUAUGGUGGGAGGAGUCAUUUGGUUGGUUUUCAGUGAAAUUCAAUCUCUAGAACUGUGCAAUACACCAGCCACUCCAUUUCAUAAUGAACUUCGUACGAAACUGAAUUGUUCAAUUUCAUGGACCAAUCAAUAUCGGAUUGAGUCGAAAACAAGGGAAACAUGAUAAUAUGGUGGGAGGAGUCAUUUGGUGAGUUUUGUGAGAAAUCCAAUCAAUGAAAUUACGCAAUACACCAACCACUCCAAUUACAUGGACCAAUCGAUGUUAGAUUAUUUACAAAACUUGGGGAACAUCAUAAUAUGGUGGGAGGAGUCAUUUGGAAGGUUUUGAGUGAAUUCCAUUCUCUAAAACUAUGGAAUGAACCAACCACUCCAUUUCGGAAUGACCUUCGUACGAACCUGAAUUGUCCAAUUUCAUCGACUAAUCGAUAUGGGAUUCAGUCCAAAACUUGGGGAAUAUCAUAAUAUGGUGGGAGGAGUCAUUUGGUUGGUUUUGACUGAAAUCCAAUCUCUAGAACUGUGCAAUACACCAACGAGUCCAUUUCAGAAUGAACUUCGUAUGAAACUGAAUUGUCCAAUUUCAUGGACCAAUCAAUAUCGGAUUGAGUCGAAAACAAUGGAAACAUCAUAAUAUGCUGGGAUGAGUCAUUUGGUGUGAUGUCCAAUCUCUAGAACUAUGCUAUACACAUCCAUUUCAGAACGAUCUUCGUACGAACCUGAAUUGUGCAAUUUCAUGGACCAAUGGACAUCGGAUUGAGUCCAAAACUUGGGGAACAUCAUAAUAUGGUGGGUGGAGUCAUUUGGUGACUUUGGAGUGAGAUCCAAUCUCCAGAACUAUGCUAUACAUCAACCACUCCAAUUCAGAACGAACUUCGUACGAACCUGAAUUGCCCAAUUUCGUUUACCAAUCGAUAUCGGAUUGAACCCAAUUGAGAACGAACUUCGUACGAACCUGAAUUGUCCAAUUUCGUUUACCAAUCGAUAUCGGAUUGAACCCAAAACUUGGAGAACAUCAUAAGAUGCCGGGAGGGCUCAUUUGGUUGGUUUUGAGAGAUAUCCAAUCUCUGGAGCUACGCAAUAAAAUAACCACUCCAUUUCUUAAUGAACUUUGUACGAACCUGAAUUGUUCAAUUUCAUCGACCAAUCGAUAUCCGAUUGAGUCCAAAACUUUGGGAACAUCAUAACAUGGCGGGAGGAGUCAUUUCGUGAGUUUUGAGUGAAAUCUAAUCUCUAAAACUAUGCGAUACACCAACCACUCCGUUUCAGAACGAACUUCGUACGAACCUCAAUUGUCCAAUUUCAUGGACCAAUCGAUAUCGGAUUGAAUCCAAAACUUGGGGAACAUCAUAAUAUGGUGGGAGGAGUGAUUUCGUGCUCUUUGAGUGAAAUCCAAUAUCUAAAACAAUGUAAAACAGAAACCACUCCAUUUCAGAACGAACUUCGUUUGAACCUGAAUUGUCCAAUUUCGUGGACCAAUUGAUGUCGGAUUGAGUCCAAAACUUGGGGAACAUCAUAAUAUGGUGGGAGGAGUCAUUUCAUGAGUUUUGAGUGAAAUCCAAUCUCUAAAACUAUGCAAUACACCAACCACUCCAUUUCAGAACGAACUUCGUACGAACCUGAAUUGUCCAAUUUUAGGGACCAAUCGAUAUCGGAUUGAGCCCAAAACUUGGGGAACAUCAUAAUAUGGUGGGUGGAGUCAUUUGAUUGGUUUUGAGUGAAAUCCAAUCUAUAAAACUAUGCAAUACUCCAACCACUCCAUUUCAGAACGAACUUCGUACGAACCUGAAUUGUCCAAUUUUGUGGACCAAUCGGUAUCGGAUUGAGUCCAAAACUUGGAGAACAUCAUACUGUGGUGGGAGGUGUUAGUUGGUAGGUUUUGAGUCAAAUCCAAUCUCUAGAACUGUGCAAUACGCCAACCACUCCAUUUCAGAACGAGCUUCGUAUGAACAUGAAUUCUCCAAUUUCACGAACCAAUCGAUAUCGGAUUGAGACCAAAACUUGGGGAACAUCAUAGCAAGAUGGGAGGUGUCAUUUGGUAUGUUUUGAGUGAAAUUCAAUCCCUAGAACUAUGCAAUAAGCCAACCACUCCGUUUCAGAACGAACUUCGUACGAACCUCAAUUGUCCAAUUUCAUGGACCAUUCGAUAUCGGAUUGAAUCCAAAACUUGGGGAACAUCAUAAUAUGGUGGGAGGAGUCAUUUGGUGCUCUUUCAGUGAAAUCCAAUAUCUAAAACAAUGUAAAACACAAACCACUCCAUUUCAGAACAAACUUCGUACGAACUUGAAUUGUCCAAUUUCAUGGACCAAUCGAUAUCGGAUUGAAUCCAAAACUUGGGGAACAUCAUAAUAUGGUUGAAGGAGUCAUUUGGUGAGUUUUGAGUGAAAUCCAAUCUCUAAACCUAUGCAAUACACCAACCACUCCAUUUCAGAACGAACUUUGUAUGAACCUGAAUUGUCCAAUUUCAUGGACCAAUCGUUAUGGGAUUGAUUCCAAAACUUGGGGAACAUCAUAUUAUGGUGGGAGGAGUCAUUUGGUGGGUUUUGAGUGAAAUCCAAUCUCUUGCACUAUGCAAUACACCAACCACUUCAUUUAAGAACGAACCUCUUACAAACCUAAAUUGGCCAAUUUCGUGGACCUAUCGAUAUCGGAUUGAGUCCAAAACUUGAGGAACAUCAUAAUAUGGUGGGAGGAGUCAUUUGGUGGGUUUUGAGUGAAAUCCAAUCUCUACAACUAUGCAAUACACCAACAACUCCAUUUCAUAACGAACUUCGUAGGACCUGAAUUGUCCAAUUUCAUGGACAAAUCGAUAUCGGAUUCUGUCCAAAACUUGGGGAACGUCAUAAUAUGAUUGGUGGAGUCAUUUGGUGAGUUUUGACUGAAAUCCAAUGGCUAAAUGAUAAGGUCAUCAUUUCACACAUUUGCCUGCCUUCUUUGCUUAGUAAUUUUGUUUAGCUUCUCUUUAUUUGAGUCUCUUACCUAUGUUUGUGUGUUUGUAGGUUAAGACAGUAAGGGGAUGACAUUUGAUACAAUUCAUGCAUGUUAUGGGCUGAGUGGCACAAGAGGAAUAUGAGCUUAAAGACAAUCAAUUUGAGCCACACCCCUUGUCAGUCCAGUUUCGUAGGUCAUCUUGCAGGCCUCAUUUCAGCAACUUACACAGGUCGGAUGUGUAGACAUCCUUGAUAGAAGUUGUUCCAAUGGGUGUUUGUUAUAACAUAUCCAAAUUUCAGCCCAAUUGGAUAUAUCUGGAGCCCUCAGCACAUCAAAGACUGAACCAAGUCCACAGAAAUGUCAUGUUGGCUGCCAUCACAUUUAAUGUGGCUACAUCCCUAGAGCCAUGUGCUACACAUGGGAGUCAAAUCAGCUCAGAAACUCAGAAAGAUGAAUAAAAGUUAAGCGUUGCAUAAAGAAACCAUACCAAAGCAUGUAUUUGGCAGCUGGAGCAGUUGGGAGCAGCUAAGAGAGGUGUGCUUCACCAGCCAAAGGGGAGGACGAAAUUGCACUCUAUAAAUAGAGAGCUUCAAACUCAUUCAGAGCAGACACACACAUUCACUUCAUCCAUUACUCUCAUACACACAUUCAGAUUCACCACAAAGAGAGAAGGGAGCUUGGAGCUGUCCUGAGAACUUCCUUGCUGCCAUCAUCUAGUUCUUCUCCUCUCUUUAUCCUAUCUAUGUAGUUCAACUUUUCUGUAUUGAUAGUUAUGUCAAACUAAUCCAUUUAGUUAGGGCUUAGGAUGAAGCCCUAGUCAUGAAUAUUCAAUGUUAUGGAUGAUUUUAUAGUUAAUUGAUUUCCUUGCUUUUAUUAUCAAGUUGUUAAUCUACAGUUUAUUAUGUGCUUCAUGUAUGUUUUCUUGGAGUAGCUAACUAGGAUUUUAUGCAUCUAGCACAGGUUGGGAAGGGGUUUAGAUUCACCAAUUCUACUCUUCUUUCACAAGCAACACAUGAAUGGCCUAAGAAUCAUUCAAGGGUUUAGUGGGUUUUUAGUGAAAUCGAAUAUCUAAAACUCUGCAAUAGAUCAACCACUCCAUUUUAGAAUGAACUUCGUACAAACCUGAAUUGUCCAAUUUCAUGGACCAAUCGAUAUCAGAUUGAGUCCAAAACUUGGGGAACAAGAUAAUAUAGAGGGAGGAGUCAUUUGGGGGGUUUUGAGUGAAAUCGAAUCUCUCAAACUAUGUAAUACACCAACCACUCCAUUUCGGAACGAACUUCGUAUGAACCUGAAUUGUGCAAUUUCAUGGACCAAUCGAUAUCGGAUUGAGUCUAAAACUUGGGAAACAUCUGAGUAUGGUGGGAGGAGUCAUUUGGUAGGUUUUGAGUGAAAUCCAAUCUCCAGAACUAUGCAAUACACCAACCACUUAAUUUCAGAACGAACUUUGUACGAACCCGAAUUGUCCAAUUUCAUGGACCAAUCGAUAUCGGAUUGAGUCCAAAACUUGGGGAACAGCAUAAGAUGGUAGGAGUAGUCAUUUGGUGGGUUCUGCGUGAAAUCGAAUAUCUAAAACUAUGCAGUACACCAACCACUCCAUUUCAAAACGAACUUUGUAUAAACCUGAAUUGUCCAAUUUCAUGGACCAAUCGAUAUCGGAUUGAGUCCAAAACUUGGGGAACAUCAUAAUAUGGUGGGAGGAGUCAUUUGGUGAGUUUUGAGUGAAAUCCAAUCGCUAAACUAUGCAAUACACCAACCACUCCAUUUCAUAACGAACUUCGUACGAACUGAAUUGUUCAAUUUCAUGGACCAAUCGAUACAAGAUUCAGUCCAAAGCUUGGGGAACAUGAUAAUGUGGUGGGAGGAGUCAUUUGGUGGGUUUUGAGUGAAAUCGAAUAUCUAAAACUCUGCAAUAGAUCGACCACUCCAUUUUAGAAUGAACUUCGUACAAACCUGAAUUAUCCAAUUUCAUGGACCAAUCGAUAUCGGAUUGAGUCCAAACCUCGGGGAACAUCAUAAUAUGGUGGGAGGUGUCAUUUGGUGGGUUUUGAGCGAAAUCGAAAAUCUAAAACUACGCAACACACCAACCACUCCAUUUCGGAACGAUCUUCGUACGAACCUAAAUUGUCCAAUUUCAUGGACCAAUCGAUAUCGGAUUGAGCCCAAAACUUGGGAAACAUCAUAAUAUGGUAGGGGGUUUCAUUUGGGGGGUUUUAAGUGAAAUCGAAUCACUAAAACUAUGUAAUACACAUACCACUCAAUUUCGGAACGAACUUCGUAUGAACCUCAAUUGUCCAAUUUCAUGGACCAAUCGAUAUCGGAUUGAGUCCAAAACUUGGGGAACAGCAAAAUAUGUGGGAGUAGUCAUUUGGUGAUUUUUGAGUGAAAUCGAAUAUCUAAAACUACGCAAUACACCAAUCACCCCAUUUCAAAAUGAACUUCGUACGAACUUGAAUUGUCCAAUUUCAAGGACCAAUCGAUAUCGGAUUGAGUCCAACACUUGGGGAAAAUCAUAGUAUGGUGGGAGGAGUCAUUUGGUAGGUUUUGAGUGAAAUCCAAUCUCUAGAACUAUGCAAUACACCAACCAUUCCAUUUUAGAACGAAUUUCGUACGAACUUGAAUUGUCCAAUUUGAUGACCAAUCGAUAUCGGAUAGAGCCCAAAACUUAGAGAACUUUAUAAUGUGGUGGGAGCAGUCAUUUAGUGAGUUUUGAGUAAAAUCCAAUCCCUAAAACUAUGCAGCACACCAACCACUCAUUUCGGAACGAACUUCGUACGAACAUGAAUUGUCCAAUUUCAUGGACCAAUCGAUAUUGGAUUGAGCCCAAAACUUGGGGAAGAACAUAAUAUGGUUGCAUUAGUCAUUUGGUGGGUUUUGAGUGAAAUCGAAUCUCUAAAACUAUGCAAUACACCUACCCCUCCAUUUCGGAACGAACUUCGUAAGAACCUGAAUUGUCCAAUUUCAUGGACCAAUUGAUAUCGGAUUGAGUGGGGAACAUCAUAAUAUGGUGGGAGGAGUCAUUUUGGUGCUCUUUGAGUGAAAUCCAAUAUCUACAACUGUGCAAAACAUAAACCACUCCAUUUCUGAACGAACUUUGUACGAACCUGAAUUGUCCAAUUUCAUGGGCCAAUCGAUAUCAUAUUGAGUCAAAAACGUGGGGAACAUCAUAAUAUGGUGGGAUUAGUCAUUUGGUGGAUUUUGAGUGAAAUCGAAUAUCUAAAACUAUGCAACACACCAACCACUCCACUUCAGAAUGAACUUCAUACGAACCUGAAUUGUCCAAUUUCAUGGUCCAAUCAAUAUGGGAUUGAGUCCUAAACUUGGGAAACAUCUGAGUAUGGUGGGAGGAGUCAUUUGGUAGGUUGUAAUUGAAAUCCAAUCUCUAGAACUAUGCACUACACCAACCACUCCAUUUCAGAACGAACUUCGUACGAACCUAAAUUGUCCAAUUUCAUGAACCAAUCGAUAUCGGAUUGAUCCCAAAACUUGGGGAACAUUAUAUUACGGUAAGAGGAGUCUUUUGGUGAGUUUUGAGUGAAAUUCAGUCUCUAAAACUAUGCAACAGACCAACAACUCCAUUUUGGAACAAUCUUCGUACGAACCUGAAUUCAAUUUCAUGGACCAAUCGAUAUCGGAUUGAGCCCAAAACUUGGGGAACAUCAUAAUAUGGUGGGAGGUUUAAUUUGGGGGGGUUUUGAGUGAAAUCGAAUCACUAAAACAAUGUAAUACACCUACCACUCCAUUUCGGAACGAACUUCGUACGAACCUCAAUUGUCCAAUUCCAUGGACCAAUCGAUAUCGGAUUGGGUCCAAAACUUGGGGAACAGCAAAAUAUGGUGGGAGUAGUCAUUUGGUGGUUUUGAAGUGAAAUCGAAUAUCUAAAACUACGCAAUACACCAACCACCCCAUUUCAAAAUGAACUUCGUACGAACCUGAAUUGUCCAAUUUCAAGGACCAAUCGAUAUCGGAUUGAGUCCAAAACUUGGAGAAAAUCAUAGUAUGGUGGGAUGAGUCAUUUGGUAGGUUUUGAGUGAAAUCCAAUCUCCAGAACUAUGCAAUACACCAACCAUUCCAUUUUAGAACGAACUCCGUACGAACCUGAAUUGUCCAAUUUGAUGGACCAAUCGAUAUCGGAUAGAGCCCGAAAAUUAGGAAACUUUAUAAUGUGGUGGAAGGAGUCAUUUGGUGAGUUUUGAGUGAAAUCCAAUCUCUAAAACUAUGCAACACACCAACCACCCAUUUCGGAACGAACUUCGUACGAACCUGAAUUAUCCAAUUUGAUGGACCAAUCGAUAUCGGAUUGAGCCCAAAACUUGGGGAACAACAAAAUAUGGUUGGAGGAGUCAUUUGGUGGGUUUUGAGUGAAAUCGAAUCUCUAAAACUAUGCAAUACACCUACCCCUCCAUUUCGGAACAAACUUCGUACGAACCUAAAUUGUCCAAUUUCAUGGACCAAUCGAUAUCAUAUUGAGUCAAAAACGUGGGGAACAUCAUAAUAUGGUGGGAUUAGUCAUUUGGUGGGUUUUGAGUGAAAUCGAAUAUCUAAAACUACGCAAUACACCAACCACUCCAUUUCAAAACGAACUUCGUACGAACUUGACUUGUCCAAUUUCAUGGACCAAUCGAUAUUGGAUUGAGUCAAAAACGUGGGGAACAUCAUAAUAUGGUGGGGUUUGUCAUUUGGUGGGUUUUGAGUGAAAUAGAAUAUUUAAAACUACGCAAUACACCAACCACUCAAUUUCAGAACGAACUUCGAAAGAACCUGAAUUGUCCAAUUUCAUGGACCAAUCGUUAUCAGAUUGAGCCCAAAACUUGGGGAACAUCAUAAGAUGGUGGGAGGUGUCAUUUGGUUGGUUUUGAGUGAAGUCAAAAAUCUAAAACUAUACAACACACCGACCACUACAUUUCGGAACGAACAUCGUACGAACCUGAAUUGUCUAAUUUCAUGGACCAAUUGAUAUCGGAUUGAGUCCAAAACUUGGGGAACAACAUAAUACGAUGGGAGUAGUCAUUUGGUUGGUUUUGAGUGAAAUCGAAUAUCUAAAACUACGCAAUACACCAACCACUCCAUUUGAGAACGAACUUCGUACGAACCUGAAUUGUCCAAUUUCAUGGACCAAUCGAUAUCGGAUUGAGCCCAAAACAUAGGGAACAUUAUGAUAUGGUGGGAGGACUCAUUUGGUGAGUUUUGUGUGAAAUCCAAUCUCUAAAACUAUGCAACACACCGACCCCUCCAUUUCGGAACGAACUUCGUAAAAACUUGAAUUGUCCAAUUUCAUGGACCAAUCGAUAUCGGAUUGAGUCCAAAAGUUGGGGAAUAUCAUAAUUUGGUGGGAGGAGACAUUUGGUGAUCUUUGAGUGAAAUCCGAUAUCUAAAACUAGGCAAUACACAAACCACUCCAUUUCAAAGAGAACUUCGUACGAACCUGAAUUGUCCGAUUUCAAGGACCAAUCGAUAUAGGAUUGAGUCCAAAACUUGGGGAACAUCAUAAUAUUGUGGGAGGAGUCAUUUGGUGGGUUUUGAGUGAAAUACAAUUCCUAGAACACCAACCACUCCAUUUCAGAUCGAACUUCGUACGAACUUGAAUUGUCCGAUUUCAUUGACCAAUCGAUAUCGGAUUGAGUCCAAAACUUGAGGAACAACAUAAUAUUGUGGGAGGAGGCAUUUGGCAAGUUUUGAGUGAAAUACAAUCCCUAGAACUAUACAAUACACCAACCACUCCAUUUCAGAACAAACUCCGUACGAACCUGAAUUGUCAAAUUUCGUGGACCGUUCGAUAUCGGAUCGAGUCCAGAACUUGGGGAACAUCAUAAUAUUGUGGGAGGAGUCAUUUGGUGGGUUUUGAGUGAAAUCCAACCUCUAGAACUAUACAAUCCACCAACCACCCCAUUUCAGAAUGAACUUCGUUCGAACCUGAAUUGUCCGAUUUCAAGGACCAAUCAAUAUCGGAUUGAGUCCAAAACUUGGGGAACAUCAUAAUAAUGUGGGAGGAGUCAUUUGGUGGGUUUUGAGUGAAAUACAAUCCCUAGAACACCAACCACUCCGUUUCAGAUCGAACUUCAUACGAACUUGAAUUGCCCGAUUUCAUUGACCAAUCGAUAUCGGAUUGAGUCCAAAACUUGGGGAACAACAUAAUAUUGUGGGAGGAGGCAUUUGGUGGGUUUUGAGUGAAAUACAAUCCCUAGAACUAUACAAUACACCAACCACUCCAUUUUAGAACGAACUUCGUACGAACUUGAAUUGUCAAAUUUCGUGGAUCGAUCGAUGUCGGAUUGAGUCCAAAACUUGGGGAACAUCAACAUAUUGUGGGAGGAGCCAUUUGGUAAGUUUUGAGUGAAAUCCAAUCUCUAGAACUAUACAAUACACCAACCACUCCAUUUCAGAACGAACUUCGUACGAACCUGAAUUGUCCGAUUUCAAGGACCAAUCGAUAUCGGAUUGAGUCCAAAACUUGGGGAACAUCAUAAUAUUGUGGGAGGAGUCAUUUGGUGGGUUUUGAGCGAAAUCCAACCUCUAGAACUAUACAAUACACCAACCACCCCAUUUAUGAACGAACUUCGUAGGAACCUGAAUUGUCCGAUUUCAAGGACCAAUCGGUAUCGCAUUGAGUCCAAAACUUUGGGAACAUCAUAAUAUUGUGGGAGGAGUCAUUUGGUGGGUUUUGAGUGAAAUCCAAUUUCUAGAACUAUACAACACACCAACCACUCCAUUUCGGAACGAACUUCGUACGAACCUGAAUUGUCCGAUUUCAAGCACCAAUCGAUAUCGGAUUGAGUCCAAAACUUAGAGAACAUCAUAACAUUGGGGGAGGAGUCAUUUGGUGGGUUUUGAGUGAAAUACAAUCCCCAGAACUAUACAAUACACCAACCACUCCAUUUCAGAACGAACUUCGUACGAACCUGAAUUGUCAAAUUUCGUGGACUGAUUGGUAUCGGAUUCGGUCCAAAACUUGGGGAACAUCAUAAUAGUGUGGGAGGAGUCAUUUGGAGAGUUUUGAAUGAAAUCCAAUCCCUAGAACUAUACAAUACACCAACCACCCCAUUUCAGAACAAACUUCGUACGAACCUGAAUUAUCAAAUUUCGUGGACCGAUCGAUAUCGGAUUGAGUCCAAAACUGGGGCAACAUCAUAAUAUUGUGGGAGGAGUCAUUUGGAGGGUUUUGAGUGAAAUACAGUCCCCAGAACACCAACCACUCCAUUUCAGAACGAACUUCGUACGAACUUGAAUUGCCCGAUUUCAUUGACCAAUCGAUAUUGGUACGAGUCCAAAACUUAGGGAACAACAUAAUAUUGUGGGAGGAGGCAUUUGGUGGGUUUUGAGUGAAAUACAAUCCCUAGAACUAUACAAUACACCAACCACACCAUUUCAGAACGAACUUCGUAUGAAUCUGAAUUGUCAAAUUUCGUGGAUCGAUCGAUAUAGGAUUGAGUCCAAAAAUUGGGGAACAACAUAAUAUUGUGGGAGGAGUCAUUUGGUGGGUUUUGAGUGAAAUCCAAUCUCUAGAACUAUACAAUACACCAACCACCCCAUUUCAGAACGAACUUCGUACGAACCUGAAUUGUCCGAUUUCAAGGACCAAUCGAUAUCGGAUUGAGUCCAAAACUUGGGGACCAUCAUAAUAUUGAGGGAGGAGUCAUUUGGUGGGUUUUGAGUGAAAUCCAAUCUCUAGAACUAUACAAUACACUAACCACCCCAUUUCAGAACGAACUUCGUACGAACCUGAAUUGUCCGAUUUCAAGGACCAAUCGAUAUCGGAUUGAGUCCAAAACUUGGGGAACAUCAUAAUAUUGUGGGAGGAGUCAUUUGGUGGGUUUUGAGUGAAAUCCAAUCUUUAGAACUACACAAUACACCAACCACCCCAUUUAUGAACGAACUUCGUACGAACAUGAAUUGACCGAUUUCAAGGGCCAAUCGAUAUCGGAUUGAGUCCAAAACUUGGGGAACAUCAAAAUAUUAUGGAAGGAGUCAUUUGGUGGGUUUUGAAUGAAAUCCAAUCUGUAGAACUACACAAUACACCAACCACCCCAUUUGUGAACAAACUUCAUACGAACCUGAAUUGUCCGAUUUCAAGGACCAAUCGAAAUCGGAUUGAGUCCAAAACUUGGGGAACAUCAUAAUAUUAUGGGUGGAGUCAUUUGGUGGGUUUUGAGUGAAAUCCAAUCUCUAGAACUAUACAAUACACCAACCACCCCAUUUCAGAACGAACUUCGUAUAAACCUGAAUUGUCCGAUUUCAAGGACCAAUCGAUAUUGGAUUGAGUCCAAAACUUGGGGAACAUCAUAAUGUUGUGGGAGGAGUCAUUUGGUGGGUUGUGAGUUAAAUACAAUCCCUAGAACUAUACAAUACACCAACCACUCCAUUUCAGAACGAACUACGUACGAAC